UGGGGAAUUUUCCGCAAUGGGCGAAAGCCUGACGGAGCAAUACCGCGUGAGGGAGGAAGGCUCUUGGGUUGUAAACCUCUUUUCUCAGGGAAGAACACAAUGACGGUACCUGAGGAAUCAGCAUCGGCUAACUCCGUGCCAGCAGCCGCGGUAAUACGGAGGAUGCAAGCGUUAUCCGGAAUGAUUGGGCGUAAAGCGUCCGCAGGUGGCUGUGUAAGUCUGCUGUUAAAGAGUCUAGCUCAACUAGAUAAAGGCAGUGGAAACUACACGGCUAGAGUGCGUUCGGGGCAGAGGGAAUUCCUGGUGUAGCGGUGAAAUGCGUAGAGAUCAGGAAGAACACCGGUGGCGAAGGCGCUCUGCUAGGCCGCAACUGACACUGAGGGACGAAAGCUAGGGGAGCGAAUG
RNAcentral lists this ribosomal RNA (405 nucleotides) under uncultured cyanobacterium. RNAcentral's name for it is "partial 16S ribosomal RNA". It matches the Rfam family "Bacterial small subunit ribosomal RNA", at positions 355 to 774 of the family's 1533-position model. Lineage: Bacteria; Bacillati; Cyanobacteriota. The record is from RNAcentral.